Molecule: ribosomal RNA, 402 nt
Filed under: uncultured Rickettsiales bacterium
Lineage: Bacteria; Pseudomonadati; Pseudomonadota; Alphaproteobacteria; Rickettsiales
Description: bacterial SSU rRNA
Rfam family: Bacterial small subunit ribosomal RNA
Source: RNAcentral
AGUGGGGAAUAUUGGACAAUGGGCGCAAGCCUGAUCCAGCCAUGCCGCGUGAGUGAUGAAGGCUUUAGGGUUGUAAAGCUCUUUCGCCGAUGAAGAUAAUGACGGUAGUCGGAGAAGAAGCCCCGGCUAACUUCGUGCCAGCAGCCGCGGUAAUACGAAGGGGGCUAGCGUUGUUCGGAAUUACUGGGCGUAAAGCGCGCGUAGGCUGUGUCGCAAGUCAGGGGUGAAAUCCCGGAGCUUAACUCCGGAACUGCCUUUGAAACUGCGAUGCUGGAAUCUCAGAGGGGAUAGCGGAAUUCCAAAUGUAGGGGUGAAAUCCGUAGAUAUUUGGAGGAACACCGGUGGCGAAGGCGGCUAUCUGGAUGAGUAUUGACGCUGAGGCGCGAAAGCGUGGGGAUCAAA